Molecule: long non-coding RNA, 320 nt
Organism: Oncorhynchus keta (chum salmon)
Lineage: Eukaryota; Metazoa; Chordata; Actinopteri; Salmoniformes; Salmonidae
Exons: 3
Source: RefSeq, a predicted model, not a curated record
AGUUGAUAGUGCAUCUGUCAGGAGGUCAAGAAUCGGAGGGAGGUGAAAAAUGAGGAGCAGGAGAAAAGCCAGCAGAUAGCCAGACUAGAAGAGGAGCUCCACAGGGUACAGUGAGUUCUUUGUGGAGAACUCUGUCCAUAAAGGAAGGAGAGCUGUUCACUGCUAAAGGCCAGCAGGAUGAAUUGAGACAGAGGCUGAAGAACCAGUUGGGCCAGCUACAGGCCAUGUCCAGGAAGGUAGUGAAGGACAGUUCACCUGGUUAUGUGAUGGGAAAACCAAUGAUGGUGAUGCUGGAGGAGAAGAAUGACACCCUGAGGCAG